UCUACCUGCCUCAGCCUCCCAAAGUGCUGGGAUUACAGGCGUAAGCCACCGCGCCCGGCCACCUCACAGGUUUUAACGUGCAUCUACAUCACCCUGGGAUCUUGUGUCAAUGCAGGUCCUGAUUCAGUAGGUUCAGGAGGAGCCUGAUUCUGCUCGUCCAAGCUGCCAGGGUCUGAUUUCCUUUGUGUGAGCACUCCGCCACUAGGGGUUCUUUGGCUGGCAAGAGAAACUAGAGAAGUUUUGCUUCCAGGAGGGGAGAGGAGUGGAAGAGGUGGUAAAGGAGAGGGAGCAGUCAUUUCUUCAGUCAGAGUCACAGAGCUGUACCACUCAGGAUUUAGUAGCGGCAGUUGGAAGCCUCACGGACAAUACA
RNAcentral lists this long non-coding RNA (370 nucleotides) under Homo sapiens (human). RNAcentral's name for it is "HSALNT0359459". Lineage: Eukaryota; Metazoa; Chordata; Mammalia; Primates; Hominidae. The record is from RNAcentral.